GGCCCGUUGGUCAAGUGGUUAAGACACCGCCCUUUCACGGCAGUAACAGGGGUUCAACUCCCCUACGGGUCACCA
Molecule: transfer RNA, 75 nt
Filed under: Bacillota bacterium
Lineage: Bacteria; Bacillati; Bacillota
Description: Firmicutes bacterium (gut metagenome) tRNA-Glu
Rfam family: tRNA
About the family: Transfer RNA (tRNA) molecules are approximately 80 nucleotides in length. Their secondary structure includes four short double-helical elements and three loops (D, anti-codon, and T loops). Further hydrogen bonds mediate the characteristic L-shaped molecular structure. tRNAs have two regions of fundamental functional importance: the anti-codon, which is responsible for specific mRNA codon recognition, and the 3' end, to which the tRNAs corresponding amino acid is attached (by aminoacyl-tRNA synthetases). tRNAs cope with the degeneracy of the genetic code in two manners: having more than one tRNA (with a specific anti-codon) for a particular amino acid; and 'wobble' base-pairing, i.e. permitting non-standard base-pairing at the 3rd anti-codon position.
Source: RNAcentral